This 504-nucleotide ribosomal RNA is filed under the name uncultured Desulfobulbus sp. Its description in RNAcentral is "bacterial SSU rRNA". It matches the Rfam family "Bacterial small subunit ribosomal RNA", at positions 903 to 1382 of the family's 1533-position model. Lineage: Bacteria; Pseudomonadati; Thermodesulfobacteriota; Desulfobulbia; Desulfobulbales; Desulfobulbaceae. The record is from RNAcentral.
GCCAGCCCGCUCAGAAACUACAAAGGAAUUGACGGGGCCCGCACAAGCGGUGGAGUAUGUGGUUUAAUUCGAUGCAACGCGAAGAACCUUACCUGGUCUUGACAUCCCGGAGACCCUUAGGAAACUAGGGGUGCUUCCAUCUGGAAGAAUCUGGAGACAGGUGCUGCAUGGCUGUCGUCAGCUCGUGUCGUGAGAUGUUGGGUUAAGUCCCGCAACGAGCGCAACCCUUGCCUUUAGUUGCCAGCAGUUCGGCUGGGCACUCUAAAGGGACUGCCGGUGUUAAACCGGAGGAAGGUGGGGAUGACGUCAAGUCCUCAUGGCCUUUAUGACCAGGGCUACACACGUACUACAAUGGCCGAUACAAAGGGCAGCGACACUGCGAGGUGAAGCCAAUCCCGUAAAAUCGGUCUCAGUCCGGAUUGGAGUCUGCAACUCGACUCCAUGAAGUUGGAAUCGCUAGUAAUCGUGGAUCAGCAUGCCACGGUGAAUACGUUCCCGGGCCUU